CAAGUCGAGCGCUGAUUACAGGGUAGCAAUAUUCUGUAGUUGGAGCGGCGCAAGGGUGCGUAACACGUGGGUAAUCUGCCAUGAAGUCUGGAAUAACUUGCUGAAAGGCGAGCUAAUACCGGAUGUGAAAAUUGGAAGGCAUCUUUUGAUUUUCAAAGUUGGGGACCGUAAGGCCUGACGCUUCAUGAUGAGCCCGCGGCCUAUCAGCUAGUUGGUGAGGUAACGGCUCACCAAGGCUAAGACGGGUAGCUGGUCUGAGAGGACGACCAGCCACACUGGAACUGAGACACGGUCCAGACACCUACGGGUGGCAGCAGUCGAGAAUUUUUCACAAUGGGGGAAACCCUGAUGGAGCGACGCCGCGUGGGGGAUGAAUGGCUUCGGCCCGUAAACCCCUGUCAUUCGCGAACAAUGCCUGCGGCUUAAUACGUUGCAGGUUGAUAGUAGCGGAAGAGGAAGGGACGGCUAACUCUGUGCCAGCAGCCGCGGUAAUACAGAGGUCCCAAGCGUUGUUCGGAUUCACUGGGCGUAAAGGGUGCGUAGGUGGUCGGGUAAGUUUGAUGUGAAAUCUCCGGGCUUAACCCGGAAACUGCAUUGAAUACUAUUCGGCUGGAGGGUUGGAGGGGGGACUGGAAUUCUCGGUGUAGCAGUGAAAUGCGUAGAUAUCGAGAGGAACACCAGUGGCGAAGGCGAGUCCCUGGACAACUCCUGACACUAAGGCACGAAAGCUAGGGGAGCAAACAGGAUUAGAUACCCUGGUAGUCCUAGCCGUAAACGGUGCGUAUUUGCUGUAAAAGGAAUCGACCCCUUUUGUGGCGUAGCCAACGCGUUAAAAUACGCCGCCUGGGAAGUACGGUCGCAAGAUUAAAACUCAAAGAAAUUGACGGGGGCCUGCACAA
RNAcentral lists this ribosomal RNA (899 nucleotides) under uncultured Verrucomicrobiota bacterium. RNAcentral describes it as "bacterial SSU rRNA". It matches the Rfam family "Bacterial small subunit ribosomal RNA", at positions 58 to 928 of the family's 1533-position model. Lineage: Bacteria; Pseudomonadati; Verrucomicrobiota. The record is from RNAcentral.